RNAcentral lists this ribosomal RNA (800 nucleotides) under uncultured Staphylococcus sp. RNAcentral's name for it is "bacterial SSU rRNA". It matches the Rfam family "Bacterial small subunit ribosomal RNA", at positions 74 to 855 of the family's 1533-position model. Lineage: Bacteria; Bacillati; Bacillota; Bacilli; Caryophanales; Staphylococcaceae. The record is from RNAcentral.
AGGAGCUUGCUCCUUUGACGUAGCGGCGGACGGGUGAGUAACACGUGGGUAACCUACCUAUAAGACUGGGACAACUUCGGGAAACCGGAGCUAAUACCGGAUAAUAUGUUGAACCGCAUGGUUCAAUAGUGAAAGAUGGUUUUGCUAUCACUUAUAGAUGGACCCGCGCCGUAUUAGCUAGUUGGUGAGGUAACGGCUCACCAAGGCAACGAUACGUAGCCGACCUGAGAGGGUGAUCGGCCACACUGGAACUGAGACACGGUCCAGACUCCUACGGGAGGCAGCAGUAGGGAAUCUUCCGCAAUGGGCGAAAGCCUGACGGAGCAACGCCGCGUGAGUGAUGAAGGUCUUACGGGUCGUAAAACUCUGUUAUUAGGGAAGAACAAACCGUGUAAGUAACUGUGCACGUCUUGACGGUACCUAAUCAGAAAGCCACGGCUAACUACGUGCCAGCAGCCGCGGUAAUACGUAGGUGGCAAGCGUUAUCCGGAAUUAUUGGGCGUAAAGCGCGCGUAGGCGGUUUUUUAAGUCUGAUGUGAAAGCCCACGGCUCAACCGUGGAGGGUCAUUGGAAACUGGAAAACUUGAGUGCAGAAGUAGGAAAGUGGAAUUCCAUGUGUACGGUGAAAUGCGCAGAGAUAUGGAGGAACACCAGUGGCGAAGGCGACUUUCUGGUCUGUAACUGACGCUGAUGUGCCGAAAAGCGUGGGGAUCAAACAGGAUUAGAUACCCUGGUAGUCCACGCCGUAAACGAUGAGUGCUAAGUGUUAGGGGGUUUCCGCCCCUUAGUGCUGCAGCUAC